Molecule: non-coding RNA, 494 nt
Organism: Solanum lycopersicum (tomato)
Lineage: Eukaryota; Viridiplantae; Streptophyta; Magnoliopsida; Solanales; Solanaceae
Source: RefSeq, a predicted model, not a curated record
CAUAAUUCAUUUAUUACCUUUUAUACUUGACCCAUAUAAUUAAAUUAAGUUAGUGGGCUUAACCACUUUUAAUACUUAAUUAAUAUUAGAAAAAAAUAAAGGAGUAAGGGUAAGAAACUAUCUGUGUGCGGCGUGAAUGCAAACGUGAGGGGUCGAACGAAAAUUUACGGAUCGUGAGCGUUUCGAAACUUUGCAUAAAGGGAAGGAACUAUCUUAAAGAUUCAUGACACGAAUUUGGCACUUGAGAUUCAAUUCCGAGUAGGAGCACAUCUCGUGGAGCAAAGUGAGUCCGGCUUGAAGUUUUUGGAGUUGUGGUGAGCUGCUUGGCAGUUCCGUGGCCCACACCUCUCUCUAUCUUUUACGUAUUCUGUUAUUCAGUGUUCAGACAGGAUAUCCCUUAAGUUAGAUUUGUCAUUUUAGUUUCAUACUUGCAUCGUAUUCUAGAAGCUCUUGAACUUAAGACACAAAUUCUUGGGGUGAUAUAUUUUAGAUUU